UACAGAGGGGGCAAGCGUUGUUCGGAAUUACUGGGCGUAAAGGGCGCGUAGGCGGCCUGUUAAGUCGAACGUGAAAUCCCCGGGCUCAACCCGGGAACUGCGUCCGAUACUGGCAGGCUUGAAUUCGGGAGAGGGAUGCGGAAUUCCAGGUGUAGCGGUGAAAUGCGUAGAUAUUCGCAAGAACACCAGUGGCGAAGGCGGCUUACUGGUCCGGAUCUGACGCUGAGGCGCGAAAGCGUGGGGAGCAAACAGG
Molecule: ribosomal RNA, 253 nt
Filed under: uncultured bacterium
Lineage: Bacteria
Description: partial 16S ribosomal RNA
Rfam family: Bacterial small subunit ribosomal RNA
Source: RNAcentral